RNAcentral lists this microRNA (24 nucleotides) under Prunus persica (peach). RNAcentral's name for it is "microRNA miRNA_39". Lineage: Eukaryota; Viridiplantae; Streptophyta; Magnoliopsida; Rosales; Rosaceae. The record is from RNAcentral.
AUAUCAGCCCCGAUCUCUUGGACC